GUCUGCCUCUCUGUUCUGGGAACGGGAGAUAUGCAGAAAGUUGAUACGAUCAAAGUUUGCUGAGAGAUGCUUGAUAUCCUGAAGAACACCAUAGAUCUCCUUGAUCUGACUUUGGGUUGAGAUUGCUCUGAUGAGCGUUGCGCAAUCGGAGUGAAACGAAACUGACCUCCUCCCUAGACUUAGGGCUUCUUUGAUUCCUUGUCUGAGCGCCAGCGAUUCCGCCAUGAGGGGGGAAGCCACGUUGUCUAUGAUCUAGGAUCCUAAAGGAGAGUUGAUCGCUCGAUCGUUGGUGAAAUGCCAAGCGAUACCUGCUCGAUUGGAGGAGGCAUCCCACGCUGCGUCUACGAAGCAAGAGGGGUAUGAUUGGAUUCCUGGUACUUGUCGUCGGCUUGAAGCUUGGGGGAAUACUUGGUUUCUUUUUGAUUGAUCGGUGCUCUGAGCUAGAUCCCAUUCAAGUGCAGCUGCAAGCCCUUUUGUCGCUAUUUCGAGGGGUUGAGCCGUUUUAUCAUCGAAAAUCAGCUUGUUUCUUGCCGUCCAUAGUGACCAGCAGAUCCACGGGAGCACUGGUGACCUGAUGCCUGUAGUAGGGAGACAGAGGGCGCUUCGGAAUUGGACCAUAUAGGAUUCAAAAGUCUCUGCACCAGCUAGGUGAACUGAUGAGUUGAGAGGAAUGUGGCGCCAUACUUCUUUAGCAAAGGGGCAAUGGAAGAAUAUAUGGGUAGCUGAUUCCUCUUUUUUACAGCAGGGGCAAGAAGCAGCAUUGAUCAUACCUCGACGUUGGAGUUCUGUUCCUAGAGCCAGUCGAAAUCCAGGUUGGGAGGAGGAUUUGAGGUCCUCUGUUGCAGGUAAACCAGUUCAUGUUUUUGAACCGCACAUUGGUGUUAUUGAUGCGGUGCCGGUCGAAACACCUUUUUUUUUCACAGUUCGACUGGGUUUGUGGUUGUCGCUGGGCUUUAUCUCUAAGCAGAGAGCUGGCUAUGGCUCUAUCUAUGGUUGGCGUCGUCAUCACAAGAACAUUUUUCCA
Brassica oleracea var. oleracea is the source of this 1024-nucleotide long non-coding RNA. RefSeq lists it as uncharacterized. NCBI's taxonomy places the organism in Eukaryota, Viridiplantae, Streptophyta, Magnoliopsida, Brassicales, Brassicaceae. The transcript is spliced from 2 exons. The record is from RefSeq and is a predicted model, not a curated record.